GAACCAUGUAAUUCCAUCCCCAGGAUGAAACACAUUAGCGCGUUUGGCUAGUGCUCUAUCAGAGGGCCAUUAGACUGAGGCUCGUGCAUGAGGGGAUAGCAUGCUUUUACUUUCACUCUCUUUGUAAUAAAAAACGAUUUCCCGGUCGGAAUAUUAUCACUUUUUUACGAGAAAAAUGGCAUAAAAAUGGAUUUUAAACAGCGGUUGACAUGCUUCGAAGUACGGUAAUGGAAUAUUUCGAUUUUUUUUGUCACGAAAUGCCCCAUGCUCGUCACCCUUAUUUACCCUUUCAGAUAGUGUCUUGAACGCACGAACAAAACGCCGCUAUUUGGAUAUAACAAUGGAUUAUUUGGGACCAAACCAACAUUUGUUAUUGAAGUAGAAGUCCUGGGAGUGCAUUCUGACGAAGACAGCAAAGGUCCCCGGACAACGCAAUCACUGUUGCCCUGCACACUGCUCUAUCCCAGUUGGACAAGAGGAAUACCUACAGUAUGUGAAAACGUUGUUAAUCAACUACAGCUCUGAUUUCAACACCAUAGUGUCCUCCAAGCUCUUCACUAAGCUCAGGGCCCUGGGUCUGAACUCCUCCCUGUGCAACUGGGUCCUAGACUUCCUGACGGACCAACCCCAGGUAGUGAGGGUAGGCAACAACCCCUCCAACAUGCUUAUCAUCAACAUGGGGGCCCCACAGGGAUGUGUGCUCUUCCCCCUCCUGUACUCCCAGUUCACGCAUGACUGCAUGGCUACACCACUCCAACUCAAUCCUCAAGUUUGCUGAUGACACGACAGUGGUAGGCCUUAUUUCCAACUACUCCCUGGCAGAGUGGUGCCAGGAAAAUAACCUUACCCUCAAUGUAAAAAAAAAC
RNAcentral lists this long non-coding RNA (866 nucleotides) under Salmo salar (Atlantic salmon). RNAcentral's name for it is "lncRNA (ENSSSAG00000121487.1)". Lineage: Eukaryota; Metazoa; Chordata; Actinopteri; Salmoniformes; Salmonidae. The record is from RNAcentral.